Molecule: long non-coding RNA, 861 nt
Filed under: Zea mays
Lineage: Eukaryota; Viridiplantae; Streptophyta; Magnoliopsida; Poales; Poaceae
Description: long non-coding RNA (ZMAY_LNC004493)
Source: RNAcentral
UUACCCGUAUCCGUCUCGAAUAUAAAAAUACCCGAAUCUGUAUCCGAAAAACGAGUAUUUGCACUAGCCGUAUCUGGUACCUGACGGAUAUACCCGACCCGUUUUCAUGUUGGAACCGGACCGCCGACACAUGGCGUGUUCGUCGGGGCCGCCCGCACACACGGCGCACCCACCCAGGCUAUCGGGCCGCGACACACGCGCCCGCACGUAUAGCAGCGGGCUUUAGGUCUCUUGGGCCAACACGCCCCCAAAAAGCUAGCCUAUUAGGGGGUUACGCCCUCAACCUUAUAAACCAUGCUUUUCCACCCUCACCACACAAUGUGGGGCUAUUCCCAAAUCCCAACAAUCUCCCCCUCACACAUUGUGAGCCAAGAUUUGUCUGAGAAUGCAUUGGGUCAACCUAGUUCUGAUACCAAUUAUUGGAACCGGAGCGCCGACACAUGGCGUGUCCGUCGGGGCCGCCCGCACACACGACGCGCCCACCCAGGCUGUCGUGCCGCGACACACGCGCCCGCACGUAUAGCAGCGGGCUUUAGGUCUCUUGGGCCAACACGCCCCCAAAAAGCUAGCCUAUUAGGAGGUUAUGCCCUCAACCUUAUAAACCAUGCUUUUCCACCAUCACCACACAAUGUGGGACUAUUCCCAACAAUCUCCCCUCACACAUUGUGAGCCAAGAUUUGUCUGAGAAUGCAUUGGGUCAACCUGGUUCUGAUACCAAUUGUUGGAACCGGACCGCCGACACAUGGUGUGUCCGUCGGGGUCGCCCGCACACACGGCGCGCCCACCCAGGCUAUUGGGCCGCGACACACGCGUCCGCACGUAUAGCAGUGGGCUUUAGGUCUCUUGGGCCAACACUCCCCC